RNAcentral lists this microRNA precursor (102 nucleotides) under Marmota monax (woodchuck). The record is from RNAcentral. Lineage: Eukaryota; Metazoa; Chordata; Mammalia; Rodentia; Sciuridae.
AUUGUAAUCCCCUGGGGAUCUUGUUAAAAUGCAGAUUCUAAUCCAAUAGGUCUGAGAAGGAUCCCAAAAGUCUGCAUUUGAAUAGUUCCUGGGGAUGCUGAU